UACGUAGGGGGCUAGCGUUAUCCGGAAUUACUGGGCGUAAAGGGUGCGUAGGUGGUUUCUUAAGUCAGAGGUGAAAGGCUACGGCUCAACCGUAGUAAGCCUUUGAAACUGGGAAACUUGAGUGCAGGAGAGGAGAGUGGAAUUCCUAGUGUAGCGGUGAAAUGCGUAGAUAUUAGGAGGAACACCAGUUGCGAAGGCGGCUCUCUGGACUGUAACUGACACUGAGGCACGAAAGCGUGGGGAGCAAACAGGAUUAGAUACCCCUGUAGUCCCUGA
This 276-nucleotide ribosomal RNA is filed under the name uncultured prokaryote. RNAcentral's name for it is "partial 16S ribosomal RNA". It matches the Rfam family "Bacterial small subunit ribosomal RNA", at positions 524 to 800 of the family's 1533-position model. The record is from RNAcentral.